Small nucleolar RNA from Cyprinus carpio carpio, 97 nucleotides. The record is from Ensembl. NCBI's taxonomy places the organism in Eukaryota, Metazoa, Chordata, Actinopteri, Cypriniformes, Cyprinidae.
AUCCUUCGCAAUCAAACACAUGAUGACUGGUUUUGUCAUGACUCUUCAUGACAUGUGCAGCCGUUUUGUUACGAAGCAGCACAUUGACCGUCUGAUU